UUGCCCUAGUAACGGCGAGUGAAGCGGCAACAGCUCAAAUUUGAAAUCUGGCCCCGGCCCGAGUUGUAAUUUGCAGAGGAAGCUUCUGGCGCGGCGCCGUCCGAGUCCCCUGGAACGGGGCGCCAUAGAGGGUGAGAGCCCCGUAUGGAUGGACGCCUAGCCUGUGUGAAGCUCCUUCGACGAGUCGAGUAGUUUGGGAAUGCUGCUCAAAAUGGGAGGUAAAUUCCUUCUAAAGCUAAAUAUUGGCCAGAGACCGAUAGCGCACAAGUAGAGUGAUCGAAAGAUGAAAAGCACUUUGAAAAGAGGGUUAAAUAGCACGUGAAAUUGUUGAAAGGGAAGCGCUUGUGACCAGACUUGCGCCAGGCUGAUCAUCCGGUGUUCUCACCGGUGCACUCUGCCUGGCUCAGGCCAGCAUCGGUUUCAGCGGGGGGAUAAAGGCCUAGGGAACGUAGCUCCCCCGGGAGUGUUAUAGCCCUGGGUGCAAUGCCCCCGCCGGGACCGAGGUUCGCGCAUCUGCUAGGAUGCUGGCGUAAUGGUCAUCAGCGACCCGUCUUGAAACACGGACCAAGGAGUCAAGGUUUUGCGCGAGUGUUUGGGUGUUAAACCCGCACGCGUAAUGAAAGUGAACGUAGGUGAGAGCUUCGGCGCAUCAUCGACCGAUCCUGAUGUAUUCGGAUGGAUUUGAGUAGGAGCGUUAAGCCUUGGACCCGAAAGAUGGUGAACUAUGCUUGGAUAGGGUGAAGCCAGAGGAAACUCUGGUGGAGGCUCGCAGCGGUUCUGACGUGCAAAUCGAUCGUCAAAUCUGAGCAUGGGGGCGAAAGACUAAUCGAACCAUCUAGUAGCUGGUUACCGCCGAAGUUUCCCUCAGGAUAGCAGUGUUGUUCUUCAGUUUUAUGAGGUAAAGCGAAUGAUUAGGGACUCGGGGGCGAUUUUUAGCCUUCAUCCAUUCUCAAACUUUAAAUAUGUAAGAAGCCCUUGUUACUUAGUUGAACGUGGGCAUU
RNAcentral lists this ribosomal RNA (1001 nucleotides) under Echria macrotheca. Its description in RNAcentral is "LSU rRNA". It matches the Rfam family "Eukaryotic large subunit ribosomal RNA", at positions 75 to 1109 of the family's 3401-position model. The record is from RNAcentral. Lineage: Eukaryota; Fungi; Ascomycota; Sordariomycetes; Sordariales; Schizotheciaceae.